CAGCAGCCACGGUAAUACGGAGGGUGCAAGCGUUAAUCGGAAUUACUGGGCGUAAAGCGCACGCAGGCGGUCUGUCAAGUCGGAUGUGAAAUCCCCGGGCUCAACCUGGGAACUGCAUUCGAAACUGGCAGGCUAGAGUCUUGUAGAGGGGGGUAGAAUUCCAGGUGUAGCGGUGAAAUGCGUAGAGAUCUGGAGGAAUACCGGUGGCGAAGGCGGCCCCCUGGACAAAGACUGACGCUCAGGUGCGAAAGCGUGGGGAGCAAACAGGAUUAGAUACCCCAGUAGUCCCUGUCUCUUAUAC
This 301-nucleotide ribosomal RNA is filed under the name uncultured bacterium. Its description in RNAcentral is "partial 16S ribosomal RNA". It matches the Rfam family "Bacterial small subunit ribosomal RNA", at positions 509 to 807 of the family's 1533-position model. The record is from RNAcentral.